This 367-nucleotide ribosomal RNA is filed under the name Triticum aestivum (bread wheat). RNAcentral's name for it is "partial small subunit ribosomal RNA". Lineage: Eukaryota; Viridiplantae; Streptophyta; Magnoliopsida; Poales; Poaceae. The record is from RNAcentral.
CUUUUUUUUAACAGCCCCUUGGCAGGUCGUGGAAUGGUUUUGUUCUCCUCUUAUUCCAUAUGGAAUACAAUCAGUUAAAAUAAGAAGGAAUAGGGGAAUAUUCGAUCGUUCACUCCAAAAAGAGGGUCGUAUUGAAAAAGAAAUUAUCCAAAAUAGAAAGAAGUUUUUUUUUCAAUUCAAUUGUUUAUUUAUCUCUUAUUCAAAAAUUUCCUUGAAAAUCGAAUUUCAUUUUUUCAUUCAAUGGGGUUAGAUGAUCUAGUUCUUAAUAUUAUUACUUUACUCAAUUGACAAAUUCCACAACAAAUCUCUUGAUUCGGAAUUAGGGACUCAUGUAUCAUCUGAUGAAUCCACUUUCUUUUACACUUCU